CCUACGGGUGGCAGCAGUGAGGAAUAUUGGUCAAUGGACGCAAGUCUGAACCAGCCAUGCCGCGUGCAGGAAGACGGCCCUAUGAGUUGUAAACUGCUUUUGUACGAGGGUAAACGCAGAUACGCGUAGCUUUUUGAAAGUACCGUACGAAUAAGGAUCGGCUAACUCCGUGCCAGCAGCCGCGGUAAUACGGAGGAUUCAAGCGUUAUCCGGAUUUAUUGGGUUUAAAGGGUGCGUAGGCUGUCCGAUAAGUUAGAGGUGAAAUGUCGGGGCUUAACCCCGGGACUGCCUCUGAUACUGUUGGACUAGAGAGCGGAUGAAGCAGGCGGAAUGAGUAGUGUAGCGGUGAAAUGCUUAGAUAUCACGAAGAACACCGAUUGCGAAGGCAGCUUGCUAAUCCGUAUCUGACGCUGAUGCACGAAAGCGUGGGUAGCGAACAGGAUUAGAUACCCGGGUAGUC
Molecule: ribosomal RNA, 460 nt
Filed under: uncultured bacterium
Lineage: Bacteria
Description: partial 16S ribosomal RNA
Rfam family: Bacterial small subunit ribosomal RNA
Source: RNAcentral